Molecule: long non-coding RNA, 399 nt
Filed under: Solanum tuberosum (potato)
Lineage: Eukaryota; Viridiplantae; Streptophyta; Magnoliopsida; Solanales; Solanaceae
Description: long non-coding RNA (STUB_LNC011338)
Source: RNAcentral
AUGUGGGAUGAUGUGGUUGUUAUUGAUUGAUUUGAAUCAAUUUGUUUGUGUUAUGGGUUGAAUUAGUUCAAGAUAAAUCAAUUUGGUGGUGUUUUGGGUUUGAUUGGUUGAAGACUGCCAGCCAUCACACAAAAUUGUUGUCAGUGUUAAUUCUGAAACUGUGAUAACUUUUCUUGUUGUUACAAGGGAUUGAAAAAUCAAAAGAACACUCCAUAUUAAAAUUUGAAAUUUAUGCUUUUUCUUGUAUUGUCAUGGCAGGUUCAGGAUGGAGGAGGUGAUGAUUGAUGAAGAUGAUAAAUAGGAACUUGGGCAAUAGCAAGGGUGAAAUUAGCUAAUAAAUGAUCCUUUCUACUUUUCUUGCAUUCUUGUAGCCUUUUUAUUUGUAUGAAAUAUUUCUGU